GCCUUUUCACUAUCCAAAGUGGAAUCGACAUGGAAAUCAGUGGGUGAAAUUUCAGUAUUAUUCCAACCGAAACCUGUUAGCUAUGUGAAAGUGGAAGAGAAGUGUAUUAGACAUGUAAGGAGAAAGAGAUGGGAUCUGAAAUCCUUCAUUCUGUAAAGUCAAAAAGGCAAGAGGAGUAUGGCUGGGAAGUAGAAAUCAUUUAAAAUCCACCCAAACUAGGAAUAAUCCAAGGUGAAUUAAGCAAGAUUUCUUUUGCGUCUCCAAGAUUCGAAAACAUGACCUCUAAGAAAGACUUAAAUUUGAAUUCUAGCACCAUUUGGAUUUAACUCUCUUUUUGAAGGGAAAUGGAAAGGUCAUGGGUUUGAUUCUUGGGGACGCGAUGGAAAUCUGUGAGGGGUGAGGAAUAAGAUGGGUUUAGACUCUCCGAUAACGGACAGUACAUAAGUUAAUAACUUGGACAUAGAGGCCAUGUCGUUACAAAAAAUGCACGUUUUCUGUAACGAUCCAACCUCUAUGCCCAAGCCGUAACCCCUCACAGAUUUAUAUAGUAUCCAAGGAAUUGAACCCAUGACAUUUCUCGUAAGAGAGUCUCAAGUUGAAUAUCGGUAUCAAUUGGACAACGGGUAAGAUGAGUUUAGGCUCUUCCAUAACUAACAGUAUAUAAGUUAAUGACUUGGGCAUAUAGGUCAGGUCGUUACACAACGCAUGUAACCAACUUAACAUUUCAUUCUUACACACAUGUGAGUGCAAUACCUAUGUGCAUUAGGCAUGUGAUUGUUUGAAAUAUUAAACUGCAUACUAAUGUGCAUCCUUUUCCUAAUUUUUGAAACAUAGAGAAAAGAAUCCCCAGAUGGUAAAAUAAGUUAAUGACUUGGACAUAAAGGCAGGUCGUUACACAAUACAUGUAACCAACUUAACAUUUCAUUCUUAUGCACAAGUGAGUGCAAAACCUAUGCGCAUUAGGCCUGUUAUUUUUUGAAAUAUUAAACUGCCUAAUAAUGGGCAUCCUUUUCCUAAUUUUUGAAACAUAGAGAGAAGAUUCCCCAUCUUUGCGACGAACCUACAGAGACCAGGAAUGCCAUCUUUUCUUUUA
Molecule: long non-coding RNA, 1093 nt
Filed under: Olea europaea subsp. europaea
Lineage: Eukaryota; Viridiplantae; Streptophyta; Magnoliopsida; Lamiales; Oleaceae
Source: RNAcentral